Molecule: ribosomal RNA, 253 nt
Filed under: uncultured bacterium
Lineage: Bacteria
Description: partial 16S ribosomal RNA
Rfam family: Bacterial small subunit ribosomal RNA
Source: RNAcentral
UACGAAGGUGGCAAGCGUUACUCGGAAUUACUCGGCGUAAAGGGCAGGUAGGUGGUUCGAUAAGUCUGUUGUGGAAGCUCCUGGCUUAACUGGGAGAGAUCAACGGAAACUAUCGAGCUUGAGUGUGGGAGAGGGUAUUGGAAUUCCCGGUGUAGCGGUGAAAUGCGCAGAGUUCGGGAGGAACACCAAUGGCGAAAGCAGAUACCUGGACCACUACUGACACUCAGCUGCGAGAGCUAGGGGAGCAAACAGG